UAGCCUUGACAUAUUAGAGAACUCCGUAGAGAUACAGAGGUGCCUUAGGGAGCUUUAUUAC
Molecule: ribosomal RNA, 61 nt
Filed under: uncultured bacterium
Lineage: Bacteria
Description: partial 16S ribosomal RNA
Source: RNAcentral